This 750-nucleotide ribosomal RNA is filed under the name Rossellomorea oryzaecorticis. Its description in RNAcentral is "bacterial SSU rRNA". It matches the Rfam family "Bacterial small subunit ribosomal RNA", at positions 379 to 1118 of the family's 1533-position model. The record is from RNAcentral. Lineage: Bacteria; Bacillati; Bacillota; Bacilli; Caryophanales; Bacillaceae.
AAGUCUGACGGAGCGAGCCAGGUGAGUGAAGAAGGUUUUCGGAUCGUAAAACUAUCCUGAGAGGGAAGAACAAGUGCCGUUCGAAUAGGGCGGCACCUUGACGGUACCUAACCAGAAAGCCACGGCUAACAACGUGCCAGCAGCCGCGUUAAUACGUAGGUGGCAAGCGUUGUCCGGAAUUAUUGGGCGUAAAGCGCGCGCAGGUGGUUUCUUAAGUCUGAUGUGAAAGCCCACGGCUCAACCGUGGAGGGUCAUUGGAAACUGGGGAACUUGAGUGCAGAAGAGGAAAGUGGAAUUCCAAGUGUAGCGGUGAAAUGCGUAGAUAUUUGGAGGAACACCAGUGGCGAAGGCGACUUUCUGGUCUGUAACUGACACUGAGGCGCGAAAGCGCGGGAAGCAAACAGGAUUAGAUACCCUGGUAGUCCACGCCGUAAACGAUGAGUGCUAAGUGUUCAGAGGAUGUCACCCUUUAGUGCUGCAGCUAACGCAUUAAGCACUCCGCCUGGGGAGUACGGUCGCAAGACUGAAACUCAAAGGAAUUGACGGGGGCCCGCACAAGCGGUGGAGCAUGUGGUUUAAUUCGAAGCAACGCGAAGAACCUUACCAGGUCUUGACAUCCUCUGACAACCCUAGAGAUAGGGCUUUCCCCUUCGGGGGACAGAGUGACAGGUGGUGCACGGUUGUCGUCAGCUCGUGUCGUGAGAGGUUAGGUUAAGUCCCGCAACGAGCGCAACCCUUGAUCUUAUUUGC